Molecule: long non-coding RNA, 1258 nt
Organism: Lytechinus variegatus (green sea urchin)
Lineage: Eukaryota; Metazoa; Echinodermata; Echinoidea; Temnopleuroida; Toxopneustidae
Exons: 3
Source: RefSeq, a predicted model, not a curated record
CAUUAUUAGAUCACAUUUUGUUCGAAUGAGGGGCUACGAUUUCACGUUUAUCAAUAGCAUCCUUCAGAUUUAGAUAUCUAAUGUCAUCAAAAAGAAGGCGGGGAGGAGGAGACACUGAAAUUCACAGCGGCGGAGAACCAACUUGGCAAGAAGCAGCAGAGAUCAGAAGGCGAGGGCGCCAAGCUGCCUAUAUACUGGCUGUACCGAGAACACUGGGUCACGAUCUAAAUUUGGGAAUUCGCAACGUAUCUAGAAUUCGUUUUGAAAUUGGGAAAUGAAGAUGGAAUGAAAUACGACGCAUGUUCCCAUUUUAAAACUUGUAGAAGUUGGACAAGAAGAAAUAUAAACAUUUCCUCGCUCAUGCACUGCACAGGUACAUUCAGUAGUCGGCGCCAACUGAAUUCUGGACAUAAUUUAUGCGUCAUAUUUCCAUCACGUGAUUAAACGCUCGAAUUAUUAUUUUUUCUCCGAAGAUGCAAGUACGCUCAACAAAACCGACGCUACGAACGGGACAGAAUAUACUUUAGAAACCAUUUUAAAGGCAGUUGGUGAAUCUUCAUACCUUGGAAUAUCAACAGGAAAAACUUGGAACAAAAAAUUAGUUUUCAACGUUUCAUUCUUUAGCAGGAAACUCUUCACUUUUUGUGUGCGGCCUAUAUAGACACCACUUAAAAGGUAGAGCUUCGCCGAGACUUUCCAAACCUUACAGCGGGUUUGUUGAUGGAUCUCCGGACGGUCGUUCUACCCUUGAUAAUCAAUUUUGAACUUGAUGAUUUUGUGAAUAUCAGCGGCCAGAGACAUGUUUAUGAAGCUAUUGAGAAAAAUUCUCUCAAUGGAACUGAGAUGAAAAUUGGUUUUGAUGCUAACUUUGUGUUGUGACCAUGGAUACAUAACGAUACUGUCAUUGAAUUGGAUUUGAUUGAAUUGGAUUGGAUUGGACAGAUGAACAUGCUGAGACUAAUCAAACGUUGCUGUAUGAGUGAGUCCCUUUUACCCGUAGAACAAUACGGCAAUAUCACUUAAUGAUCUUAAUGAAACUAUGAAUUUUAUGGAAAUUGGUUAAGUUUAGGUUUUAGUACCAGGAUUCGUAGCGUAAGUUCAUUUACCCCCCCCCCCGUUAGUAUAGGCGCCUGGCCGAAACGUAUUCUUUAGCCUUUUUCCAUAAAAUUCAUCGUGUCAUAUCAAGAAGAUUGCUGUGUUGUCACCUACUGGUAAUCAAAGUUAGUUUCAUAUUUGUUUUUUAUGUUUGCCGAAAGCU